CUCAAAGGAAUUGACGGGGACCCGCACAAGCGGUGGAUGAUGUGGUUUAAUUCGAUGCAACGCGAAAAACCUUACCCACCUUUGACAUGUACGGAAGAUCGCAGAGACGCGAUUGUGCUCGAAAGAGAGCCGUAACACAGGUGCUGCAUGGCUGUCGUCAGCUCGUGUCGUGAGAUGUUGGGUUAAGUCCCGCAACGAGCGCAACCCUUGCCAUUAGUUGCUACGAAAGGGCACUCUAAUGGGACUGCCGGUGACAAACCGGAGGAAGGUGGGGAUGACGUCAAGUCCUCAUGGCCCUUAUAGGUGGGGCUACACACGUCAUACAAUGGCUGGUACAAAGGGUAGCCAACCCGCGAGGGGGAGCCAAUCCCAUAAAGCCAGUCGUAGUCCGGAUCGCAGUCUGCAACUCGACUGCGUGAAGUCGGAAUCGCUAGUAAUCGUGGAUCAGAAUGUCACGGUGAAUACGUUCCCGGGUCUUGUACACACCGCCCGUCACACCA
Molecule: ribosomal RNA, 500 nt
Filed under: uncultured bacterium
Lineage: Bacteria
Description: bacterial SSU rRNA
Rfam family: Bacterial small subunit ribosomal RNA
Source: RNAcentral